GGGUGCAAUCAUUCCUGCCCUAAUGCACCGGAUCCCAUUAGAACUCUGAAGUUAAGUGUGCUUGGGCGAGAGUAGUACUCGGACGGGUGACCUCCUUGGAAGUCCUCGUGUUGCACCCC
This 119-nucleotide ribosomal RNA is filed under the name Nelumbo nucifera (sacred lotus). Lineage: Eukaryota; Viridiplantae; Streptophyta; Magnoliopsida; Proteales; Nelumbonaceae. The record is from RNAcentral.